CCCUGUGCUCUUACGCCGCCGCCACCCCCGCGAGGAGAGAACUUCGACAGCAGUCAUCCCCGUUAGAUUCCCCUCGCGAGCCAGACCCCCUCCUCUCCUCCGGUUCCCUUUCGCCGUGCGCUCGCCGGAUCUGGUGGUAGAAGACAAUUUCGGGCAUCCCCAGGCUUGGUAGGCCAUCCAACGGCCUCGAGCCUGUCUUCUCCCGAUGACAUCAACCGAGUCCGUGCGGUUCAUGAUGGCGUCCGCCACGGGUUUCCUCGUCGUCUCGUCCACCGCGGGCUCCCGCAUCCUCUCGCUCUCAUCCGGCUUCCUACGCCGGGGGAGGCGCAUCGAUGCUCGGCCCCUCCGGAUCUGGUUGAAGAAGACGACCCCCGGCUCUCCCAGGCUAGUCCGGCCGGAUUGUUCUUCAUUCGCUCCCCCGAAGACGGAACCUAUGACGUUGAUUUGCGGUGGGAACCCGAAGACGGCGACCUCCACGCUUUGCUGGGGCAUGAACCAACGACCAGGGAUCAGACCCAGACCCAGACCUUGCCUUUCGCUUUAGGGGCCUCCUCGACCAGAUCCCCUCCGGCUGGGUCUUCCUCACCGACGCCGGCUUGAGGACUGGACGAACUGCUACGCAGAAAACCAGAUCAGAAGUAGAGCAAGGGUAACCAAAUGGAGAAAAAAGGCGCUGAUAUCUGGCCACACCAACUGCUGUCCAGUAAGGUGCCGAAGUACAAGCAGAUAAUCCUCUGUCAGUGCUCCAAGGUGAAGAUGGGCAAGUUCCUGGAAUAAGCGCUGCCUGCUUGAACUGGCCUGAUUCUUGACCUCCUUCCACAAGGAUAGAGCUAAGAAACUCCUAUCAUCGAUGAAUUUAACUUCAAUGAAACAUGAAGUCUUACUGUGCACAUGAAUGCAUACCUUUUCCCGAAUGCAUUUGUUACUUCAUUAGUAAAAUAAAUAUAUGCCAUGCCUUUGGUACAUUCUUUGCCAUGUAAUCUGUAGUGUUUAAUUCCUUUCCAGUAAAUUGGCCCUUUUAUUCUCCCUGAUGCCAAAUUGUAAUCAGCUAGUAGGUACUUCAGGACUAACAGCUUUGACAGUAGAAACACAGGUUAUUGAGAUGGCUUGUACUUUUGGUAUGGUUUUCAAUACAAUAUCUGCUAUACAUCUUACUGGUUUUUAAAAUGACUUGUAUGUUUUUGCUACUCGUUAUUGGAUUAAUGUUGUUCUUUUCAUAGCGGUAGUUCAUGUACUUCUAGUGAAGAUUGUAUUUUCCUAAAAAUAUUUUACUUCGAACACCGAACUCUGAACCUCAUCGGGCUGUGUGUGCUUUGCAGGCCAGUGAUUUGAUUCACAAAACAAACAACCUUGUACUCCUCGUGGCAGAUUCUCUUCAUGGAGAAGAGCAUCCUAAACAAGAUGUCAUGGACCAUCACUGUUCACACUUAAUCAUGGUGUGGUUUGCCAAGGCCAACGGUAGAAACAUGGUUUAUGUCAGCUUUUGCUUCUCCCUUCUCUCCUUUGCCUACAGUGCGUUUACAAAUUAAUGAGCUCCAGGCUGAAGAAGUUUAAGAAUCUUGAAGUUGUGAAGCCCAACUCAGCAAAUACUAGCUACUUAUUAUGAUAGUCAGCAUAUCUGGGUUGUAAUUAUACUGUAAUGGUUGUAAUGGAGUAAAGUUAGCAGAUAUUUAAA
Lolium rigidum is the source of this 1675-nucleotide long non-coding RNA. RefSeq lists it as uncharacterized. NCBI's taxonomy places the organism in Eukaryota, Viridiplantae, Streptophyta, Magnoliopsida, Poales, Poaceae. The record is from RefSeq and is a predicted model, not a curated record. The transcript is spliced from 4 exons.